RNAcentral lists this long non-coding RNA (2057 nucleotides) under Salmo salar (Atlantic salmon). Its description in RNAcentral is "lncRNA (ENSSSAG00000096230.1)". The record is from RNAcentral. Lineage: Eukaryota; Metazoa; Chordata; Actinopteri; Salmoniformes; Salmonidae.
GUGAUGGAGACAGACAGAGAGAUGAAGACAGAGGUGGAGACAGAGAGAGUGAUGGAGACAGACAGAGAGAUGAAGACAGAGGUGGAGACAGAGAGAUGAAGACAGAGAUGAAGAGAGAGGCAGAGAGAGACGGAUGAAGAGAGAGGCGGAGACAGAGAGAGAGACAGAUACAGAGACAGAGAUAAAGAGAGAGGCAGAGACAGAGAUGAAGACAGAGAUAAAGAGAGAGGCGGAGACAGAGAGAGAGGCGGAGACAGAGAGAGAGGCGGAGACAGAGAGAGGCGGAGACAGAGAUAAAGACAGAGACAGAGAUAAAGAGAGAGGCAGAGACAGAGAUGAAGACAGAGACAGAGAUGAAGAGAGAGAUAAAGAGAGAGGCGGAGACAGAGACAGAGAUAAAGACAGAGACAGAGAUAAAGACAGAGAUAAAGAGAGAGGCAGAGACAGAGAUGAAGACAGAGACAGAGAUGAAGAGAGAGACAGAGAUGAAGACAGAGAUGAAGAGAGAGACAGAGAUGAAGAGAGAGACAGAGAUGAAGAGAGCGACAGAGAUGAAGAGAGAGGCGGAGACAGAGGCCCAGGUGAAAUAGGUGAAUUCUAUCAUCCAGGGUUUAGGCCCACAGAACUCUUCUAAAACAGGAAUGGCCUAAGAGAGCUACUGGGUGAGCAGCAGGCUUUUGCUCCAGCCCUACACUUUUUUUACACUAGUCAACCAUUGGUCGUACAAUCAAAACUCCUAAGCAGGCAGCCAACAAAUGUAGCCGUGUAGAAAGGGUCUUUCACACACCAGAUUCAGCCAAUCAAGUUCCUGGGUAGCAGGUGAUUAGUAGAAUCAGGUGUGUUUACAGUAUGUUUGGAGCAGCUAAACCAUGUAACCAGGAGAGGAUGAUGAAGGAGGAAGAGGAUGAAUCUAAGGUUCCAGCGGUAGAAAGAGACGAUGCUUUCGAACCCUCACAGAAAUCAGGGAAGGAACAGUAUAAAAACAGUAUAAAUGAUCUACUUAACUAAAGCACACAUUGUUAUAUCAAUCAAACCGUAUGAUAUUACAUAACCAUUCUUUCUGCUCUUGAUUCUUAUGACGACGAGUGCAAACAAAUAAUAUAGGAAACGUGUAAAUAAGAAAUGGUAGCCCCACGUUUUGUUAGCCUGGACACCAGUCUGUUCCUGCUGUCUUGUCAACUCCUUAUGGAAUUGUCAUGUUUGGCGUCAGAAUGAGUGAUAAAGAGUUGGCAAGACAGCACAAAUAGAUCUGGAAACCAGGCUAGCGUUUUGUUGCACAGAGGAGAAAAGAAGCGUGAAAUGGUUUGUUGUAAUCUAACAUAACGUGUGUGUGUAAAGAUACCUUAUUUAUUGACCCUUUGGAUACGUAUUUUCCAGUGCUCAAGGCCUGACUGAGGGACAGUUUUGUAUGUAGAGAAUUGCGAUGACAGAAUGAAUGAAAGCGAUUUCCCCUUUUUUACUUCUUAUGAAUUUUUAUGUCGCCUGAUCAGUUUUUGCAGCUAUAGAGUCAUUUAUAUACGUUAUACAGGACUGUACAUCACAUGUUUGUAAUGUUCCAAGAGGCUUAAGUCUGGAUCGUUAAAUACAACUGUACACCCUCCCCUAUUGAUAAACUAUUUCUAUUGCAUUGCGCAUUAUCGUGUGUGCCAAAUAUCAUGAGGGAUAAGCAGACCACUUGGUUGUUUAUGUUGUGCUUUCUAUACCGUUAUAAAUGUAGACAUUUUGUUCUUCUUCGGUUGUUGCCAUUGUUCAGGGCUAUUUCUUACCACUGAAUUACCAACGCAUGCAUGGCAGAAAUGGGUGGAUGCAUGGCAGAAAUGGGUUGAUGCAUGGCAGAAAUGGGUUGAUGCAUGGCAGAAAUGGAUUGAUGCAUGGCAACGUUCUAAAGAUGAUCUUAGUGUAUUCUGGAACACCUGGUACCCAGCUUUGAACGACUAACCUCCAGAACCAUCUUAAUACUACAUACCUUGUACUGUACUGUACUGUACUAUGAUCUUACUGAUUUGUACUGUAGCCUAAUAUCUUGUAAUAAAGAUUCUGAAGAAGAUAAUUAAGAA